RNAcentral lists this ribosomal RNA (481 nucleotides) under uncultured bacterium. Its description in RNAcentral is "partial 16S ribosomal RNA". It matches the Rfam family "Bacterial small subunit ribosomal RNA", at positions 28 to 507 of the family's 1533-position model. The record is from RNAcentral.
GAUGAACGCUGGCGGCGUGCUUAACACAUGCAAGUCGAACGAAGCAUUUAGAACAGAUUACUUCGGUUUGAAGUUCUUUAUGACUGAGUGGCGGACGGGUGAGUAACGCGUGGGUAACCUGCCUUGUACUGGGGGAUAGCAGCUGGAGACGGCUGGUAAUACCGCAUAAGCGCACAAUGUUGCAUGACAUGGUGUGAAAAACUCCGGUGGUAUAAGAUGGACCCGCGUCUGAUUAGCUAGUUGGUGAGAUAACAGCCCACCAAGGCGACGAUCAGUAGCCGACCUGAGAGGGUGACCGGCCACAUUGGGACUGAGACACGGCCCAGACUCCUACGGGAGGCAGCAGUGGGGAAUAUUGCACAAUGGAGGAAACUCUGAUGCAGCGACGCCGCGUGAGUGAAGAAGUAAUUCGUUAUGUAAAGCUCUAUCAGCAGGGAAGAUAGUGACGGUACCUGACUAAGAAGCUCCGGCUAAAUACGUG